AUUGAACGCUGGCGGCAUGCUUUACACAUGCAAGUCGAACGGCAGCGCGGGCUUCGGCCUGGCGGCGAGUGGCGAACGGGUGAGUAAUGCAUCGGAACGUGCCCAGUAGUGGGGGAUAGCCCGGCGAAAGCCGGAUUAAUACCGCAUACGACCUGAGGGUGAAAGCGGGGGACCGAAAGGCCUCGCGCUAUUGGAGCGGCCGAUGUCGGAUUAGCUAGUUGGUGGGGUAAAGGCUUACCAAGGCGACGAUCCGUAGCUGGUCUGAGAGGACGACCAGCCACACUGGGACUGAGACACGGCCCAGACUCCUACGGGAGGCAGCAGUGGGGAAUUUUGGACAAUGGGGGCAACCCUGAUCCAGCCAUGCCGCGUGCGGGAAGAAGGCCUUCGGGUGUAAACCGCUUUUGUUCGGGAAGAAAUCCUCUGGGCUAAUACCCCGGGGGGAUGACGGUACCGGAAGAAUAAGCACCGGCUAACUACGUG
This 483-nucleotide ribosomal RNA is filed under the name uncultured bacterium. RNAcentral's name for it is "partial 16S ribosomal RNA". It matches the Rfam family "Bacterial small subunit ribosomal RNA", at positions 28 to 507 of the family's 1533-position model. The record is from RNAcentral.